Molecule: ribosomal RNA, 412 nt
Filed under: uncultured bacterium
Lineage: Bacteria
Description: partial 16S ribosomal RNA
Rfam family: Bacterial small subunit ribosomal RNA
Source: RNAcentral
AACAUUGCGCAAUGGAGGGAACCCUGACGUAGCAACGCCGCGUGAGCGAUGAAGGUCUUCGGAUUGUAAAGCUCUUUCCCUGGGGAUGAAGGGAGCCGUAAGACUUCUCGACGGUACACAUGGCAGAAUCUCCCGCCAACUACGUGCCAGCAGCCGUGGGAAUACGUAGGGGGCAAGCGUUGUCCGGAAUUAUUGGGCGUAAAGGGUGCGUAGGCGGCCCUUUAAGUCAGAUGUGAAAGCCCACGGCUUAACCGUGGGACUGCAUUUGAAACUGGAGGGCUUGAGUGUCGGAGAGGGCAGUGGAAUUCCCAGUGUAGCGGUGGAAUGCGUAGAUAUUGGGAGGAACACCAGUGGCGAAGGCGACUGCCUGGACGAUAACUGACGCUGAGGCACGAAAGCUAGGGGAGCAAAC